CUGUUAUUCCUNGAAGGAGCACCAGGGGCGAAGGCGUCUCACCAGAACGGGACCUGACGGCAAGGGACGAAAGCUAGGGGCACGAACCGGAUUAGAUAUCCCGGUAGUCCUAGCCGUAAACGAUACUCGCUAGGUGUCGGCCACGGUGCGACCGUUGUCGGUUCCGUAGGGAAGCCGUGAAGCGAGCCACCUGGGAAGUACGGCCGCAAGGCUGAAACUUAAAGGAAUUGGCGGGGGAGCACCACAACGGGUGGAGCUUGCGGUUUAAUUGGAUUCAACGCCGGAAAUCUUANCGGGACCGACAGCAAUAUGAAGGCCAGGCUGAAGACUUUGCCGGAUUAGCUGAGAGGUGGUGCAUGGCCGUCGUCAGUUCGUACUGUGAAGCAUCCUGUUAAGUCAGGCAACGAGCGAGACCCACGCCCACAGUUGCCAGCGUACUCUCCGGAGUGACGGGUACACUGUGGGGACCGCCGCUGCUAAAGCGGAGGAAGGAAUGGGCAACGGUAGGUCAGUAUGCCCCGAAUAUCCCGGGCUACACGCGAGCUACAAUGGUUGGUACAAUGGGUAUCUACCCCGAAAGGGGAUGGAAAUCUCCUAAAGCCAAUCCUAGUUCGGAUUGAGGGCUGCAACCCGCCCUCAUGAAGCUGGAAUCCGUAGUAAUCGCGUUUCAACAGAACGCGGUGAAUACGUCCCUGCUCCUUGCACAC
This 707-nucleotide ribosomal RNA is filed under the name uncultured bacterium. RNAcentral describes it as "bacterial SSU rRNA". It matches the Rfam family "Archaeal small subunit ribosomal RNA", at positions 639 to 1344 of the family's 1478-position model. The record is from RNAcentral.